AAUAGAUACCCGGUAGUCCACGCCCUAAACGAUGUCUACUGGUUGUCGGUCAGGAUACUGAUUGGUAACGAAGCUAACGCGUGAAGUAGACCGCCUGGGGAGUACGGUCGCAAGAUUAAAACUCAAAGGAAUUGACGGGGACCCGCACAAGCGGUGGAUGAUGUGGAUUAAUUCGAUGCAACGCGAAAAACCUUACCUACGCUUGACAUGCUUGGAAUCCUGCUGAGAGGUGGGAGUGCUCGAAAGAGAACCAAGACACAGGUGCUGCAUGGCUAUCGUCAGCUCGUGUCGUGAGAUGUUGGGUUAAGUCCCGCAACGAGCGCAACCCUUGCCAUUAGUUGCUACGAAAGGGCACUCUAAUGGGACUGCCGGUGACAAACCGGAGGAAGGUGGGGAUGACGUCAAGUCCUCAUGGCCCUUAUGCGUAGGGCUUCACACGUCAUACAAUGGUCGGUACAGAGGGUUGCCAACUCGCGAGAGGGAGCCAAUCCCAGAAAACCGAUCGUAGUCCGGAUUGCAGU
This 521-nucleotide ribosomal RNA is filed under the name uncultured bacterium. RNAcentral describes it as "bacterial SSU rRNA". It matches the Rfam family "Bacterial small subunit ribosomal RNA", at positions 777 to 1304 of the family's 1533-position model. The record is from RNAcentral.